This 382-nucleotide ribosomal RNA is filed under the name uncultured bacterium. Its description in RNAcentral is "bacterial SSU rRNA". It matches the Rfam family "Bacterial small subunit ribosomal RNA", at positions 339 to 733 of the family's 1533-position model. The record is from RNAcentral.
CUACGGGAGGCAGCAGUGGGGAAUAUUGCACAAUGGGCGAAAGCCUGAUGCAGCGACGCCGCGUGCGGGAUGACGGCCUUCGGGUUGUAAACCGCUUUCAGCAGGGAAGAAGCGCAAGUGACGGUACCUGCAGAAGAAGCGCCGGCUAACUACGUGCCAGCAGCCGCGGUAAUACGUAGGGCGCAAGCGUUGUCCGGAUUUAUUGGGCGUAAAGAGCUCGUAGGCGGCCUGUCGCGUCUGCCGUGAAAUCUGGGGGCUUAACCCUCAGCGUGCGGUGGAUACGGGCAGGCUGGAGGCAGGCAGGGGAGAACGGAAUUCCCGGUGUAGCGGUGAAAUGCGCAGAUAUCGGGAGGAACACCGGUGGCGAAGGCGGUUCUCUGGG